RNAcentral lists this ribosomal RNA (456 nucleotides) under Triticum aestivum (bread wheat). RNAcentral's name for it is "partial small subunit ribosomal RNA". Lineage: Eukaryota; Viridiplantae; Streptophyta; Magnoliopsida; Poales; Poaceae. The record is from RNAcentral.
AUGAACUGUUCAAAUGUUGCCGCUACACCAUGCUUAGGCACAACUCUUCUCACCCUGAAACUGAAACACUUGAUCGUACAGAUGUUUCGGGCGCUCGUCUUCUAUGAUCAUAUUGUGCAUGAUCACACAAGCAGUCAUCACCUCUCACAAUUUCUGCAUGCUCCAGGUAUUAGCAGGAUUUCGGAUGAUGCCCCAUCAAGAUUGCAAAGCACCAAAGGCACGCUCGACAUCCUUCCUGGCACUCUCUUGCUUCUGGGCAAAUCUUUUCCUCUUCUCUCCGACAGGGUUGGGCAUUGUCUUGACAAUAGUGGUCCACUAAGGAUAGAUACCGUCACCCAGGUAGUAUCCUUUGUCGUAGUUGUGUCCGUUGACAGUAAAGUUCACCGGUGGGCUGUUGCCUUCGGCAAGUCUAGCAAACACCGGCGAACGCUGAAGCACGUUGAUAUCAUUGUGUGA